GGAGAGAUGGCUGAGUGGUCGAAAGCAACGGUUUGCUAAAUCGUCGAACCCCAAAAGGGUUCCGAGGGUUCGAAUCCCUCUCUCUCCGCCA
Molecule: transfer RNA, 91 nt
Filed under: Verrucomicrobiia bacterium
Lineage: Bacteria; Pseudomonadati; Verrucomicrobiota; Verrucomicrobiia
Description: tRNA-Ser
Rfam family: tRNA
About the family: Transfer RNA (tRNA) molecules are approximately 80 nucleotides in length. Their secondary structure includes four short double-helical elements and three loops (D, anti-codon, and T loops). Further hydrogen bonds mediate the characteristic L-shaped molecular structure. tRNAs have two regions of fundamental functional importance: the anti-codon, which is responsible for specific mRNA codon recognition, and the 3' end, to which the tRNAs corresponding amino acid is attached (by aminoacyl-tRNA synthetases). tRNAs cope with the degeneracy of the genetic code in two manners: having more than one tRNA (with a specific anti-codon) for a particular amino acid; and 'wobble' base-pairing, i.e. permitting non-standard base-pairing at the 3rd anti-codon position.
Source: RNAcentral